UACGUAGGGGGCUAGCGUUGUCCGGAUUUAUUGGGCGUAAAGAGCGUGUAGGCGGCCAGGUAGGUCUGGUGUGAAAACUCGAGGCUUAACCUCGAGAUGUCAUCGGAAACCAUCUGGCUAGAGUCCGGAAGAGGAGAGUGGAAUUCCAGGUGUAGCGGUGAAAUGCGUAGAUAUCUGGAGGAACACCGGUGGCGAAGGCGGCAUCCUGGACCAACACUGACGCUGAGGAGCGAAAGCCAGGGGAGCAAACGGG
This 253-nucleotide ribosomal RNA is filed under the name uncultured bacterium. Its description in RNAcentral is "partial 16S ribosomal RNA". It matches the Rfam family "Bacterial small subunit ribosomal RNA", at positions 524 to 776 of the family's 1533-position model. The record is from RNAcentral.